CAGCAGCCACGGUAAUACGAAGGGGGCUAGCGUUGUUCGGAAUCACUGGGCGUAAAGGGUGCGCAGGCUGGUUCUUAAGUCAGGGGUGAAAUCCCGAGGCUCAACCUCAGAACGGCCUUUGAUACUGGGGAUCUUGAGUCCGGAAGAGGUGAGUGGAACUGCGAGUGUAGAGGUGAAAUUCGUAGAUAUUCGCAAGAACACCGGUGGCGAAGGCGGCUCACUGGUCCGGAACUGACGCUGAGGCACGACAGCGUGGGGAGCAAACAGGAUUAGAUACCCCAGUAGUCCCUGUCUCUUAUAC
RNAcentral lists this ribosomal RNA (301 nucleotides) under uncultured bacterium. RNAcentral describes it as "partial 16S ribosomal RNA". It matches the Rfam family "Bacterial small subunit ribosomal RNA", at positions 509 to 807 of the family's 1533-position model. The record is from RNAcentral.